GACGAACGCUGGCGGCGUGCUUAACACAUGCAAGUCGAACGGCAAGGCCCUGCUUUUGUUGGGUGCUCGAGUGGCGAACGUGUGUGUUACACGUGAGUAACCUGCCCUUUACUUUGUGAUAACUUCAGGAAACUGUUGCUACUACCUGCUAGGAGCUCCUGCUGCAUGGUGGGGGUUGGAAAUUUUAGGCGUUUGGGGAUGGACUUCCGGUUUAUCAGCUUGUUGGUGGGGUAGUUGCUUACCCAGGCUUUGGUGGCUAGCCGGCAUGGGCGGGUGACCGGCGACAUGGGGACUGAGAGACGGACCAGACUGCUACGGGAGGCAGCAGUGGGGAAUAUUGCACAGUGGGGGGGAGCCUGAUGAAGAGACGCCGCGUGCGGGAUGACGGCCUUCGGGUUAUAAACCGCUUUCGCCUGUGACGAAGCGUGAGUGACGGUAAUGGGUAAAGAAGCACCGGCUAACUACGUG
This 468-nucleotide ribosomal RNA is filed under the name uncultured bacterium. RNAcentral's name for it is "partial 16S ribosomal RNA". It matches the Rfam family "Bacterial small subunit ribosomal RNA", at positions 28 to 507 of the family's 1533-position model. The record is from RNAcentral.